UAGCUGUUUUUAUUUUAGUCUUUUCUCUCCAUUUGGGCCACAAAAUAGGUCAGCUCCAUUACUGAUCAGCCUUCCCACAAAUAUUUAAAACAAAUUGAAUAGCACACCCAAUACCCAUCACAAUUACACCAGGCACAAUAACUAAAUUAGCAAUUCAACAAAAUAAUUGGAAAUGCGAUUCUCUCUAUUCCACCAGCCUCCCUCGAGGGUUUAUCCCAUCUAUGGGGGGAAACUCAGCUUCACUAAUUCUGCAGCUAAUUAGAGACACACUUGUAAAUGAAGUUGUUUGUCUUAAAGUUGAAAUUCUCUUCGGGGUGGGGUGGGGGGGCGCGGGGAGAAGAGCCACAUUCCUCCCAUCGCAGUCUACACCUUUCUGAGCUAGUAUAAGUGGUAAAGACCACCGGGAUCCUCCGUCUACUUGCCCUGCUUUGCAGUUUGCAGGGGUCUCCCCUGAAGUGGGGAAAGGUUAAGUGACCCUCCUAGUGGGCAGCACAGCUGGGCUUCCGAGCCAGCUCCUGCCUCUAGACCCCAAAUCUCGGCCCCUGGACCGCAGGGUAAUGAAAACAUCUUCUCAUUAGCGGCCAAAUCCUAAACGAAUCCAGAAUGAAUGUGCCACGGGGUACCGCGAAGGGGCUGGUGUGCCGGUCAGGUGACAGCGUGAAGCCACGUUGCUCUAGAAGGUGCCCUUCCUUACACGUUUGCCUGCCUGGUGCCUUCCUUUGAUGGAGACCAACUAAUCCCCUCUUCUGCCAGGGGCCCCCGUGCAAGGGCAAGUCGCUUCCUGACCGCAAGAGGGGAAAGCAGGGGGUUCGAGCGGGAGCCCCCGGGUGGCCAAUCUGAAGAUCCGGGAACUGGCUGGGGCUCAGCCGCUGUGGGAUAGAGUCAGAUAAAGAGAGAUCCGACUCUUAACGGGUCAUUUUUGACAAUCUGGGUCUCGGCUUCCUCACUUUUGAAGGGCAGCUGGAUGGCGGGGGACGGGGGGAGAACGGGAGAGUGCUGGACCCGGAGUCCGGAGAGAUGCUGUGACCUUUAAAGGAUAACGGAGCUCUCCCCCGGCCUGGGGGCUUCCGAGCUCACCAGCACUUGGCCGCCGGGCCCCGCCCUCCGCUGCUGCCGCCUCGGGGCUGGUUCGGUGGUCAGCCCCGAACCACACCCCUUCCCCGAUCGGAGGUUUGGGACUUCGAGAUCCACCCCCGUCACAAGGCGAGUCCGUCGCGUCGCGACUAGUGGGAAGUUUGGCGCUCUCCCGCGGGGAGUAAAGGGGAGCAAUGCGCUGCCCUUAGCCGCGAGGCGACGGCGGCAGAUGAAAGGUGCCCCGGCUCGCGGAAGCCUCCCGCCUCCCCGAGGUUCUCCGCACCUCUUCUCCGGCCCAGGUAGCGGGAGGGAGCGGAAGGGAGCCUGCUUAAACGCUGAUAAGUAAAUUCAAAAGCAUCCUCGGUGCAGCUUUGAAUCUCGUUUUCCUGCUUAUCUUUUCAAACAAUAUGAACUACAAGUUAUCACAUUGAAAGUGUUUCAUAUUAGCCUUUUAACAUUACAUCCAGCUCUUAAAAGCCCGGUGCGAUGUGCUCCAGACUUUAAAGGACACAAGAGUCAAGCCGGAAAGUCAUUCUAAAGCUUAAUAGAGUCAAUUCCCAACAUAAUCGGGUGCGGAGGGAAGAAAAGAGGAGGCCCGACUUGGCCGCUCUCCCUCCUCGCCGCCUCGGAGCAGCGGCUGGAAGGAACAGGAAAGCAGCUGUGUCCGGGCCCCAGGAGGGGAGCCCCUCCCCUGUCCGUGGACUCUCCAGAGCAAAAGGCGAGGCCGGAAGAUCUGGAGGAGCUCUGGCUCACUCCAGAGGCGACGGAAACCCCCCUCGGGCUCUGGACACUCGCCGCUACCCGCCCAAGGGAACAGCGCAUCCUUCCCCCCUUCCCCCCCAGGGCUCCGGGCUGGGGGCUGGCUGGAGCCGGAUUCUGCCGGGCAGCCAUUGCUCGGGCUUUGGGAAGCCCCCGACUCGGCGGUGCUGCGGUGUGAGGCUCGCGCUGGAGGCGAGGCAGGAAUCUUAGAUCAGCAGGCUAAUUGCUUUGUGCUAAAUAGAAGCCAUACUUGCAUACUAAUCUACACACCAUUACCCAGAGCUCAGCGCGCUGGAGCCUGGCUCUCUCAGGCAGCCCCUUCUAGAUCCAGUCACUCAGAGCUAGUGCCGCCCCGUCAGCUUUCUUGAGGAGACUCCGACCCAGACCCCAAUCCUAAACUCGGGGGGGGGGGUGCCAAGCCCCCCACGAGGGGGAUUCCAGGGGAUGGAAUAAGCUCAACCAACGUUACCCCCUCCCCUCCCCUCGGACUGCAGGCCCUGCUCCCAGCCUAGCCCCUACCACUGGCCAAGCACAUUGCUUCCCCAGGAGCUCGGGCCCCCUACUGCCCUAGUAGCUUCAGCUACUGUAGAGCCAGAAAAUAAAGGCAGCACUAUCAAAUUCCAAGACCGUCUCAGUCAAUUGAGAGCUGGGCCCAGAUUCAGGAGGUUCUGGGUUCAAAUGUGACCGCAGAUACUUCUUAGCUGUGUGUCCCUGGGCAAGUCACUUAACCCCAGUUGCCUAGCCCUUACCACUCAGCCUUAGAACCAAUCCAUUCUAAGACAAGGGUUGGGGGGAGGGGGGAAUAAAAGAUGGAUUGUGGCCCUGCUUUGGAGCUUAAAUAAUAAAAUAAUUAAAAAAUAAUUUUAUUAAAACAAAAAAACCCCCAUGCCUUACGGUUUGUCUUAUCAGUUCCUAGGCAGUAGAGCAGUCAGGGCUAGGCAAUGGGGAGUGACUUGUCCAGGGUCACCCGGCUAGGAAGGGUCUGAAGCUACAUAACUCAGAACCUCUUGACUCUAGGCCUGGCUCUCUAUCCACCGGGCCACCCAGCUUUCACUUACUUUCUGCCCGGGAUCUUUUCCUAAGUCUGGGUCUCUCUUCUUUCUAAAGGCAGCCUUCAUCCAUAUUGAUGGAGACCGAAGGUUCCCUGUAAAAGCCUUCUUCACCCACGCUGGGGAUCUUGACACUCCUGUUUGGCUGGAAAGCAAGACACGUUUCACAGGGUGAUAACUUUCUAAGAAAGACGGAGCAUGGUAAAGUGGGCCUAGCCUAAGCUCCCCCUCCUUCUCCUGUAUCCCAGGAGCCUCUGGGAACCUCCGGAGCUCUAGGUAGCCAGAACAGAGGGAAAAGAUCCAUUCCCUUUGGGGACUCUCCAUGAGAGGGGGAGCUCCUCGAGGGCAGGGACAUUGUUCUCCCUUUCUUUGCAGGCCCCAAGCUUGGCCCAGUUACUGGCUGUCCUCAGUCUCGUUUUUCAUUUUCUCUGUAAAGCCAGCGUCCUUGGUGGGAGACAGACACCCUAAUUUCCUAGCAGUACGGCCAUCGCUGCGGCUAUGCCCAGGAGGGAAGGAGAGGACAAACAUGGGCAAGACCAGGAAUAAGUGAAGAAGACUUCAUCAAUAGUUGCUGGACAAACUGAAUUAACUACAAAUCAGCAGGGUGAUAUGGAUCCCACAGUCUUAACGUGUAUUAGUUAAUGAACUUACCAAACGACCCUCGAUUCUCUCAGAAAUGUUGCAGGGAAGAAAGUCAAAGGGGACAGUGGGGGACUGCUGGAGGGGCGGGGAAGAGAAAGGAAAUGCUCUGUUAGGAAGACAAAGUCCAGAGGGAGUACACAACACAGGAGAGAACAAGCUGGCCGCAGUAAGGAAGGAAAAAAGCCAGAAGGUGUGGUGACUACCACCAGGCAAAUCUCACAUUUAUUAAACACACAAUGGAGAAAUCUGUGAAUCCACAUGAGGUCUACAAUGGGGGCAAGAAUGAGAGCCGGCACCCAGAUGGUCCACCUUAGGGAGAGCCCCUACAAAAAUCCAUCAGCUCUGCUCCAGGGAAGCUGGCCGGUGGGAGCCUAAUGCAUUAAGUAUGAAGGAAAGGAACCCUUAGGGAAUACUAAAAAGGCCCAAACACACUUCAAAAGGCACAUUGUGGAUCAAUUCUGGGGCAUGACUGGAUCCUCCUUUUAGAGCCACUGGUGUGAGGUGGCCAGCCAGCACAGGAUCACAGGAAAUCAGCAGUUAGCAAUCCUUCCAGAAUUCAGGGCAAGCUGACCGAGAGCAUUAACCCAGAAGAGGCGAACAUGAUUUUAAGGCCUCUGCAAAGGGGUCGUGGUAGCCUCGGCUCCCUACCUGAUGAGGGCUCCGGGCUCUGCCAUCUCAGGCACAGUCCAGGGAGGCCAGAAUGUGUGACCAGCACUCACCCCCAGGAGCUUUACAAAGGAGGCCAAAACAAUAGGAAAAGAUCCAGAGAGAGGGCCCUGGGUGGGGAGGGAAAGCCAGGUUCAACCCUCACUAAUGGAAGCCAGCAGAAGGCAACCCUUCCCCCCCCCCACCUCCCCCC
Monodelphis domestica (gray short-tailed opossum) is the source of this 4383-nucleotide non-coding RNA. Lineage: Eukaryota; Metazoa; Chordata; Mammalia; Didelphimorphia; Didelphidae. The record is from RefSeq and is a predicted model, not a curated record.